UUUUAUUUGAGAGUUUGAUCCUGGCUCAGGAUGAACGCUGGCGGCGUGCCUAACACAUGCAAGUUGAGCGAUUUACUUCGGUAAAGAGCGGCGGACGGGUGAGUAACGCGUGGGUAACCUACCCUGUACACACGGAUAACAUACCGAAAGGUAUGCUAAUACGGGAUAAUAUAUUUGAGAGGCAUCUCUUGAAUA
This 195-nucleotide ribosomal RNA is filed under the name Clostridioides difficile. RNAcentral describes it as "partial 16S ribosomal RNA". It matches the Rfam family "Bacterial small subunit ribosomal RNA", at positions 1 to 200 of the family's 1533-position model. The record is from RNAcentral. Lineage: Bacteria; Bacillati; Bacillota; Clostridia; Peptostreptococcales; Peptostreptococcaceae.